UACGUAGGGUGCAAGCGUUGUCCGGAAUUAUUGGGCGUAAAGAGCCCGUAGGCGGUCUGUCACGUCGGCUGUGAAAACCCGAGGCUCAACCUCGGGCCUGCAGUCGAUACGGGCAGACUAGAGUUCGGUAGGGGAGACUGGAAUUCCUGGUGUAGCGGUGAAAUGCGCAGAUAUCAGGAGGAACACCGGUGGCGAAGGCGGGUCUCUGGGCCGAAACUGACGCUGAGGAGCGAAAGCGUGGGGAGCGAACAGG
RNAcentral lists this ribosomal RNA (253 nucleotides) under uncultured bacterium. RNAcentral describes it as "partial 16S ribosomal RNA". It matches the Rfam family "Bacterial small subunit ribosomal RNA", at positions 524 to 776 of the family's 1533-position model. The record is from RNAcentral.